Molecule: long non-coding RNA, 436 nt
Organism: Limulus polyphemus (Atlantic horseshoe crab)
Lineage: Eukaryota; Metazoa; Arthropoda; Merostomata; Xiphosura; Limulidae
Exons: 5
Source: RefSeq, a predicted model, not a curated record
UGGUAAACGCUUCCUGUGACAUUUAGUAUUCAAUGAAACUGCUGAUCUGUUGAGAAGACGCUUCUCCUGUCCAGCGGAGCUUCAAACAAUGCUCGAGGAAACAGACGAGAUUCCCUGCAAAACUUGUAGUGUUUCAUACGUGAUAUGAUGACAACUGGAAAAUGUUCCAGUCAUUAAGGUCUUCUUAUGAAGCAAGGAACAAGUUAUCUGUCACAAAUUAUCCUAACGUUUACUGGAUAAACUUUCCUAACAGAAACUGAGGUUCGAGUCAUUCUGUUGAUAAAAAGGUGAAAACGAACGACGUUUAGUUAUUUUCCCUCCAAACCACAAUUCUCAGCUAGGAAAGCAUUCAACAUGACUAACAGGGAAAGUGAAGAAGAUCUGAAACACAAUCCACAGGAGGAAAGUCGUAACCCUUCCUUACAACCAUAAAUUU